CGCCUCGUAGCUAAGCUGGUAGAGCGUACGCGUACAAAGCGUGGGGGGCGUCCAUGUGUGGGUUCGAAUCCUACUGAAUCUA
Molecule: transfer RNA, 82 nt
Filed under: Echinostoma caproni
Lineage: Eukaryota; Metazoa; Platyhelminthes; Trematoda; Plagiorchiida; Echinostomatidae
Rfam family: tRNA
About the family: Transfer RNA (tRNA) molecules are approximately 80 nucleotides in length.
Source: Rfam by way of RNAcentral